UAUAUAAUACCAGUGCUAUGGAUUUAUUUGUCUAGCAUACUCAACUUGGAGUAGAAGAUCAAUACUCAAGAACUGCACUCGACAAGACAACCAAUGCUGGAACACAUGACCUGCAAAUGAAGGUGGUAGCUAUGAUGGAACAACUUUGAUGAAAUAAAUCACCCGCAAGUUAAGGUUACACUGUUUUUGUACUUUCCAUAUUAUUUGUGGUGUUUUUGUUAAAAUGAAUUAUAGCUUGCAAAGCGCAAAUACCCGAAGACAAUGUUAAGAACGGAAAAACCGGUCCGUACAAAUCGAAGUUUAAGCAGUAUAAUGGAGCAAAUAAAAAUGAAAGCAACAUAUCUAAAUUCCAAGGUCGGAAUAUUGCGACUGAUGAGAGUGUUGAGACCCGCACCCCGUUUUCCAGUCCUUACACAUUUGACUUACACCAUAACCUGAAAUAGAGGAGUACCGGA
This is a long non-coding RNA of Helianthus annuus (common sunflower), 455 nucleotides long. RefSeq lists it as uncharacterized. The record is from RefSeq and is a predicted model, not a curated record. NCBI's taxonomy places the organism in Eukaryota, Viridiplantae, Streptophyta, Magnoliopsida, Asterales, Asteraceae. The transcript has 3 exons.